RNAcentral lists this ribosomal RNA (139 nucleotides) under uncultured Acinetobacter sp. Its description in RNAcentral is "partial 16S ribosomal RNA". It matches the Rfam family "Bacterial small subunit ribosomal RNA", at positions 372 to 502 of the family's 1533-position model. Lineage: Bacteria; Pseudomonadati; Pseudomonadota; Gammaproteobacteria; Moraxellales; Moraxellaceae. The record is from RNAcentral.
UGGGCGGAAGCCUGAUCCAGCCAUGCCGCGUGUGUGAAGAAGGCCUUUUGGUUGUAAAGCACUUUAAGCGAGGAGGAGGCUACUUAGAUUAAUACUCUAGGAUAGUGGACGUUACUCGCAGAAUAAGCACCGGCUAAUC